Long non-coding RNA from Glycine soja, 663 nucleotides. RefSeq lists it as uncharacterized. The transcript is spliced from 3 exons. Lineage: Eukaryota; Viridiplantae; Streptophyta; Magnoliopsida; Fabales; Fabaceae. The record is from RefSeq and is a predicted model, not a curated record.
CAUUCUGGCAAACAUCCACUUUUUCAAAAGCAUUUCAGUUUUAGGCAAUAGUACUAUAGCAAGUUCACGAGUAUGUGAGUUUUCAAAUUUUAAAUGUAAAUCUUUUCUCAGUUCUCUAUUCAACUCAGACUCUUCUGCUCCAAUGAAACCCCCUUACUCGUUCCACAAAUCAACGACGUCGACAACAACGAUAUAUCAACUUAUCUCUUUCUUUUCAUUCUAAUGACGCCGUUUUACACCAUCCAUUCACCAUUAAUAUUACCAUUCAAUUUCCCUUGGCAAAGCUGAAAACGCAGAUCAAGAGCUACUUCAAGGGCGACGAGUAGGUGCUCCCGUCGAUCAUGGAGGCGAUUCUGAAGCAGUUGUCUGAAAAGAGAAGGAGGAAUAGGAUUAACGAGAAAAUGAAAGCCUAGCAGAAUUUAAUUCCAAAUUCCAACAAGAAUUAUUUUUAGACAAAGCUUCAAUGCUAGAUGAGGCCCUAGAAUAUUUAAAGCAGCUCCAGCUUCAAGUGCAAGUGAAUUUUCUUUCAUUUGGCUUGUGAAUUAUAUCAAUCACCUCCUUGGAUAUGUCUUUUUUCCCUACUUGACUCAUAUGUAUUAUUUUGUCCUUUGCAUUUAGUUACUUAAAAAUGAAGUUUAGAAUGAUUCAUAUUGAUGAUGGUUA